CCUGAAUCGAUGUGAGAGAGAAAGACAAGCUUUGAUUCGUGAGAGUAGAGGCCGGAGAAAGAAAGAGAAGCUUCGAUUUGGAGUUAGGGUUCGUGAGAGAGAGGACGACUGCGAGUGAGAGAGAGGACGGCGCUGGUGGUGAGUUGAUUAAAGGUUGCNNNNNNNNNNNCGGUAGAGGACGGCGGUGAGGGUUUGCAUCGCCGGUUCUUGCGAAGGUGAGGGGUUAAGGUUGCUGCGAGCGAGGGUUGCGUUUUGGGUGUUCUUGCGAAGGUGAGGGUUUUUUC
RNAcentral lists this long non-coding RNA (284 nucleotides) under Trifolium pratense (red clover). Its description in RNAcentral is "long non-coding RNA (TPRA_LNC001323)". The record is from RNAcentral. Lineage: Eukaryota; Viridiplantae; Streptophyta; Magnoliopsida; Fabales; Fabaceae.